UACGGAGGGUGCAAGCGUUAUCCGGAUUUACUGGGCUUAAAGGGUGCGUAGGUGGGCCUGUAAGUCAGUGGUGAAAUCUCCGGGCUUAACCCGGAAACUGCCAUUGAUACUAUAGGUCUUGAAUUUUCUGGAGGUCAGCGGAAUAUGUCAUGUAGCGGUGAAAUGCUUAGAUAUGACAUAGAACACCGAUUGCGAAGGCAGCUGACUAGAGGAACAUUGACACUGAGGCACGAAAGCGUGGGGAUCAAACAGG
This 253-nucleotide ribosomal RNA is filed under the name uncultured bacterium. RNAcentral describes it as "partial 16S ribosomal RNA". It matches the Rfam family "Bacterial small subunit ribosomal RNA", at positions 524 to 776 of the family's 1533-position model. The record is from RNAcentral.